Molecule: ribosomal RNA, 889 nt
Filed under: Sphaeropsis visci
Lineage: Eukaryota; Fungi; Ascomycota; Dothideomycetes; Botryosphaeriales; Botryosphaeriaceae
Description: LSU rRNA
Rfam family: Eukaryotic large subunit ribosomal RNA
Source: RNAcentral
AGCAUAUCAAUAAGCGGAGGAAAAGAAACCAACAGGGAUUGCCUUAGUAACGGCGAGUGAAGCGGCAACAGCUCAAAUUUGAAAGCUGGCCCUUUCAGGGUCCGCGUUGUAAUUUGUAGAGGAUGAUUCGGCGAGGGCUCCCGCCUAAGUCCCCUGGAACGGGGCGUCAUAGAGGGUGAGAAUCCCGUAUGCGGUGGGCUGCCUUAGCCGUGUGAAUCUCCUUCGACGAGUCGAGUUGUUUGGGAAUGCAGCUCUAAAUGGGAGGUAAAUUUCUUCUAAAGCUAAAUACCGGCCAGAGACCGAUAGCGCACAAGUAGAGUGAUCGAAAGAUGAAAAGCACUUUGGAAAGAGAGUUAAAAAGUACGUGAAAUUGUUGAAAGGGAAGCGCUUGCAACCAGACUUGUCCGCAGUUGCUCAGCCGGUCUCCUGACCGGCGUACUCUUCUGCGGCCAGGCCAGCAUCAGUUCGGGCGGUCGGAUAAAGACCUCGGGAAUGUAGCUCCUCUCGGGGAGUGUUAUAGCCCGGGGUGGAAUGCGGCCAGCCUGGACUGAGGAUCUCGCUUCGGCAAGGAUGCUGGCGUAAUGGUUGUAAGCGGCCCGUCUUGAAACACGGACCAAGGAGUCUAACAUCUAUGCGAGUGUUUGGGUGUCAAACCCAUACGCGUAAUGAAAGUGAACGGAGGUGGGAACCCGCAAGGGCGCACCAUCGGCCGAUCCUGAUGUCUUCGGAUGGAUUUGAGCAAGAGCAUAGCUGUUGGGACCCGAAAGAUGGUGAACUAUGCCUGAAUAGGGUGAAGCCAGAGGAAACUCUGGUGGAGGCUCGCAGCGGUUCUGACGUGCAAAUCGAUCGUCAAAUUUGGGUAUAGGGGCGAAAGACUAAUCGAACCAUC